AGAGUUUGAUCCUGGCUCAGGAUGAACGCUGGCGGCGUGCUUAACACAUGCAAGUCGAACGAUGAUGGGAGCUUGCUCCUGGAUUAGUGGCGAACGGGUGAGUAACACGUGAGUAACCUGCCCUUAACUCUGGGAUAAGCCUGGGAAACUGGGUCUAAUACCGGAUAUGACUCCUCAUCGCAUGGUGGGGGGUGGAAAGCUUUAUUGUGGUUUUGGAUGGACUCGCGGCCUAUCAGCUUGUUGGUGGGGUAAUGGCUUACCAAGGCGACGACGGGUAGCCGGCCUGAGAGGGUGACCGGCCACACUGGGACUGAGACACGGCCCAGACUCCUACGGGAGGCAGCAGUGGGGAAUAUUGCACAAUGGGCGCAAGCCUGAUGCAGCGACGCCGCGUGAGGGAUGACGGCCUUCGGGUUGUAAACCUCUUUCAGUAGGGAAGAAGCGAAAGUGACGGUACCUGCAGAAGAAGCGCCGGCUAACUACGUGCCAGCAGCCGCGGUAAUACGUAGGGCGCAAGCGUUAUCCGGAAUUAUUGGGCGUAAAGAGCUCGUAGGCGGUUUGUCGCGUCUGCCGUGAAAGUCCGGGGCUCAACUCCGGAUCUGCGGUGGGUACGGGCAGACUAGAGUGAUGUAGGGGAGACUGGAAUUCCUGGUGUAGCGGUGAAAUGCGCAGAUAUCAGGAGGAACACCGAUGGCGAAGGCAGGUCUCUGGGCAUUAACUGACGCUGAGGAGCGAAAGCAUGGGGGAGCGAACAGGAUUAGAUACCCCUGUAGUCC
RNAcentral lists this ribosomal RNA (776 nucleotides) under uncultured bacterium. RNAcentral's name for it is "bacterial SSU rRNA". It matches the Rfam family "Bacterial small subunit ribosomal RNA", at positions 8 to 796 of the family's 1533-position model. The record is from RNAcentral.